Molecule: ribosomal RNA, 465 nt
Filed under: Vreelandella stevensii
Lineage: Bacteria; Pseudomonadati; Pseudomonadota; Gammaproteobacteria; Oceanospirillales; Halomonadaceae
Description: partial 16S ribosomal RNA
Rfam family: Bacterial small subunit ribosomal RNA
Source: RNAcentral
CCUACGUGCGGCAGCAGUGGGGAAUAUUGGACAAUGGGCGAAAGCCUGAUCCAGCCAUGCCGCGUGUGUGAAGAAGGCCUUCGGGUUGUAAAGCACUUUCAGUGGGGAAGAAAGCCUUGGGGCUAAUACCCUCGAGGAAGGACAUCACCCACAGAAGAAGCACCGGCUAACUCCGUGCCAGCAGCCGCGGUAAUACGGAGGGUGCGAGCGUUAAUCGGAAUUACUGGGCGUAAAGCGCGCGUAGGCGGUCUGAUAAGCCGGUUGUGAAAGCCCCGGGCUCAACCUGGGAACGGCAUCCGGAACUGUCAGGCUAGAGUGCAGGAGAGGAAGGUAGAAUUCCCGGUGUAGCGGUGAAAUGCGUAGAGAUCGGGAGGAAUACCAGUGGCGAAGGCGGCCUUCUGGACUGACACUGACGCUGAGGUGCUAAAGCGUGGGUAGCAAACAGGAUUAGAUACCCGUGUAGUC